RNAcentral lists this ribosomal RNA (233 nucleotides) under uncultured bacterium. RNAcentral describes it as "partial 16S ribosomal RNA". It matches the Rfam family "Bacterial small subunit ribosomal RNA", at positions 29 to 290 of the family's 1533-position model. The record is from RNAcentral.
AGCGAACGCUGGCGGCAGGCCUAACACAUGCAAGUCGAGCGGCCGUAGCAAUACGGCAGCGGCAGACGGGAGAGUAACACGUGGGAACGCGCCCUUCGGUUCGGAAUAACUCAGGGAAACUUGAGCUAAUACCGGAUACGCCUACGGGAAAGAUUAUUGCCGAAGGAACGGCCCGCGUCCGAUUAGCUAGUUGGUGAGGUAAUGGCGUCACCAAGGCGACGAUCGGUAGCUGG